Serinus canaria (Common canary) is the source of this 5880-nucleotide long non-coding RNA. RefSeq lists it as uncharacterized. The transcript has 5 exons. Lineage: Eukaryota; Metazoa; Chordata; Aves; Passeriformes; Fringillidae. The record is from RefSeq and is a predicted model, not a curated record.
CAACCGGGCUCCUCCUGGUCCCCAGUAGUCAGCUGGAGCUGCGGGCAGGACAUCGCACACAGCGGAGGAAGGGCUGCUCCUGCAGCCCCAGCUCGGGGAGCCGGGCAAGGAGCAGAGGCUUUUUUAGCUCAGCCUUUGGAAACCUGGGCAACAGAGGAGGUGGCUGUAGGUGUUGGAAAGCACUUGGGGUCAACUUUGGUCAUGGCUGUCCUGUGUAACUGGGUCAAGUCACUGAAGGCCUAAAGGCAUAUCAGUUGAGAGAUACUGCUGAAGAGGCAUUCCUUUAUUUUCUGAUGAUCCUCCAAACCUGCCUGUGCUGUUCCCUGAUGUGCCAGGAGCUGGGAUUGGUGGUCCCACAGGACAGCAGUGCCUGGCUAUAAACUUCACUGGGAUUGUAAGGUAAGGACAAGCUUUGCUCCCCAGGAAGAAGCUCCACCAGCUAUGCAGCCACCUUAUCCUCGUGACCUGGUGUGACACCAUCUGCCAUGGGCUCAGAGGGCUGCUCAACCCCAGGAGGGACCCAGGUGUCACCACUGAAGCCUCAGUGGUGGGGAGCCAAGCUUGAUCUCCAGCCCCAGGCUCUGCACAGCAAGAGGUCUACCAGCACCAAGCAGUGGCAAAUCAGACUCAGUGCCACAAACAGGGUCUAGAACAAAUGUCUGGCUGUCCAUGAACUGCUUGGAGGAAAAGGCAGCAGCAGGAUAAGGUUAUUAAUGUGGGUUGGAUCCUGCCCUCAGGGCCACAGUUGGCUGAGGCACAGCCAGAGAACACAGCCAGCAUUGUACAUCCUUCUGUCCAUAACCACCAUGGAGAGCACACGUUGUCUGAGCUAAUGGGUCUUCAUAGGAUCCUUCUGGUUGAGAGAUGAUAUCACAGAUUAUAUCUGUGUCCACUUUAGGUCUGGGCUGUUGCUAAGAGAAAAACAAUUCUUGGCAAAUUCCUCGAAGUGCUUGCCUCCUACAGUUUGGCUGAAUACAGUUUGUUCAAGAACCAUGGGUAGGUGUGAGUUUCUGUCUCUUCGCCUUCUGAGAAUUGUUCUCGCCAGUGCAAACCUGAAGAUGAUAAUGCUCCCAUUUAAAAUGAGGUGAAUGCUCAGGCUGACAUGAGUGGGUGGAAAGGGCUUCAAACAGGAUGAAUCUGGGGACAGACCUACCCUGGCCAAGACAAACAGCUGCAGAGAGCUGCAGGAAAGAAAAAAGGGCACUGCUGUUCAAAAUGAUUCAGUCACAUAGGGCUGAUUGAGUCUGCAUAUCCAUCAAUUUAUAACAAAAACCAAUGGCUUUCAUGUGAAGAAAGAAAAGGUACAUCAUUUGUCACACAGGAGGACUGCAGAACUGAUAUCAUUAGGACAACAGACUGAUAUUCCUUGGGACAGAAGAGAUAUGGGAUGAGCACAGAGCAGAAAGCUCUCACUCUCCUUCCUACAUCUGUCUUUCAUUUGCUUUGCCUCUAUCUGCCCGUUGUUGAUGUUUUCUCACAUUAUCUUGGUCCCUUUGUUCAAGCUGUAUUUCAUUCCAAGAAGGCAGGGAGCUCCAGGUGUGAAUGAGGGCUGUGAGCAUGAACUCACUGUCACAGUUAUUAUUGUUAUCAUUCCUCUGAAAACCAGCCUGGUGGAGGUUUGGCUCUGUGGAAUUUGUUCUGCUGUUUUAACUGUAUCCUUGUUGAAUGUGGAAAAUGGAAUGAAAGUGGAAUGAAGAUGUGGAAGGGGGAAUGAGGUGCAGUGCUGUGCACAAUGGCUUGCACCCAAAGGUGCAGCUAGUGAAGUGCUGGCAUGCUGUGGAACAAGAUUUUGAGAUUGCAGGAUUGGGACCUGCUGCUCAAAUGAGUCAAGUGUUCAGGACUCACUGCUCUUCUCCUCUAAUGGGAGAAACAGAAAGUUAAAAAAGCCAAUACAGAAUUUUCAAUGCUCUACAUAGUUUCAAUGUGUUUUAUUUUAAGACCCCAGUGUUAUUCAGUAAUUGUAUUCCCACCACCCAGCUAUUUAGCAAUCUGAACAGAUACUAUUGUUACUAUCACUAUUGUUUCCAUCACUGGCGGUAGACUUGUGGAUGUCUGGUUAUUUUUGUCUUUGGACACCCCCUGUGUGCAUCUCACUUUGCAUAGAUAUUUUAAUGCAUUUUUCAGUGGUUCCCUCUGCUCCAGCUGAACCCCUGGAGAUGUUAUGGAGCCCCUUUGUGUGUGUUGGAUGAACACAUCUCUGGGAUCAGUCUGGAGCAGAUAAGUGCCAUAGCAUUAAGCUGAGCUCCAGCAUUCCCCCAGCCUGGCAUGAUGCAUUCAGUCCCUCCACAAAUCAGGUGCAGCUCAGCCUUAUCCAGCGGGGAUUCGGUGCACAAGCAAUGGUGUGUUUUCCCUCUGAUCUGCUGAGGCAAAUAUCCCUUUGCCAGGGCCAGGGAUAGCCCAUGGCUGGACCACACAGACUCUCCAGAUGGGCUGACACUCCAAAGAUAGGAUGGCAAGCAGCUUUGGCAGUCUGGUUGCUAUUUCAAUAGAUGGACUCUUUUUAGCUUUGUUUUUCAAGAGUUGCCCUUCUAUUUUGCAACAGGCCCUUCCUGUGCCAUGUUUAGCUCAUUCAAACCAGCUCCAGUGUUUAUACCUCCCACUGCAUUUCCUACAGUGGAUAUUUCUAAACCAGCUUUGCUGGUGGAGUCCUCUCCAAAUGGUGUGCUAAAGACCAAAUGAUUUAGCACAUAAUUAAGAAGUAAACAAUGAUCAGCAAGAAGCUUGCAGUGUCAGCUACAAGACAUGGUUUGGAUGAAAGAAAAAGCAAGAUGCCAAGAAAAAUGAGUAAAUCUGUGUGUCUGUAUCUUGAUGUGGAGAGGCAGCUUCUGCUCCAUCCCCAGUGGAGACACAGUUCAAUGGAUAUUUUUUUUUUGUUUUUUGUUUUGCCAUUGGCAGCAACAGCGGUUCAAAGGACACAAAUGGGAGAAAAGAGCUUCCUGCAGCCACCAGGAGUGAGCAUGGAUGCUCCACCUGGGCUUUUGCACACACUCCAGCUGGUUUGUGUGGAAGGGAUCAUUUCCUGGCCGCUCUGUCCCUUGUGCCAGAUGAGAGACGGUUCUGUGCUUCCCAGCACCAGGGCUUGAGCUCUGACACCUGUGACAGGAACUGGUGCUGCUGGUGUAGCUCCAUGGGUUGCAGUGCUGCUUCACAGUACCCAGGCAAAUGGAUUUAGUAGUGAGGGAAGGGAGUAGUUAGAAAGAAAGAGUUGGUUCUGCUUUCUCCAUGUUUCAUCCCAUGUUGGCGUUGGGCAUAAAAGAAGCAGCAUGCCUAAGCCCCACAAACAGAAUGUUCUUGUUUUUCAGUGAUUCCCUAGCUUUUAGUGCAAAGGAAAGAAUCAAGUCACACAAGAUUAUUGUGCUAUGGAUUUAUAAUAACAUUUUAUUAAUAUAUUAUGCUACAAAAAUAUUUUGAUAAAAUAAUAUUAGAAAGCAUCUUUUUAUUACACUCUUCAAAACAGUUCACAAAAGCAGGAGGCAGAACAGGAAAAAAAUCUGAAAUACAUUUGAACUGAAAACUGACAAAUAUGCAGUUUGAAUUUCUGUGUGAGCAUGAUCUGCAGGAUGGUUAAUCAGUCCUAUAGAAGGAAAGUAUUGCCUACUUAUUGCAAAGACCUCUCUGCCUUUAGCUAGAUUAAGGUGCCUCCUGAAAUGUUAGUCAUAGAAAAGGCUGAAUUUGGGUUGGGGCAGAACACAGACAACAUACACAUGUAAAUGUGCACACACACACCCACCCACACACACACCCCCCCACACCCUAUGAUUUCGAACUUCAGCAAAUUAGCUUUCUGCUUCAGUUAAGCUGAAACAUGUUUAAAUUGAAGCUGGGUUUUAGCACGCUCCAUGGAACAUUGAUCACUUCAGAGAUAUGACAGGACCAUACAAUUUUUGGAUAUAAUACAGAAAUACGGUACUAAACAAAGUUUGGCAUGGUAACACUUAAGCUGAGAUAAUAACCUUGAUACUUUGGUUUCUCUAACAUAAAUAUAUGAUGGGAAAUUCCUCCCUAACAGUGGUAUAUGGUAAUGACUGAGUCAUAUCACUUGACUAAUCAAUGCACUAAACAUAGAUUAAGUUCUCCCUCUUUCCAUUCUCUCUUUCUCCACAAUUGUAUACUGAAGAACUUAGAUAAAUAUACAAUUCUGUACCUUGGGUGUUCCUAAAUUACAGUGGAGCUUAGAGGAAUGGGAAGAGAAGUUCAACAAAGCAGAUUUUGGACACCUGUAUAAAGCAUAGUUAUCAUAAAUCAUGUUCAUCAUUUAUUGCCAGAAGACUUAUUGCAUUAUUCAACAGCUCUAGGGAUCGAAGAGAAACCACUUCAGUCAUUAAAUAUAAAAUACCUUCUGUCCCAGCUUACUGACUGGUUCUCCAAGUGGCAGUGCAUGUUAAUAUAGUAUCUGUAGUUAAGCAAGAAAAGCAUUAAAACACUGAGAGAGGAGAGAUUAGAUUUGUUGCUGAUGAUAUGAGAUUAUUUAUUCCACCAGGGCAAGAUCUUGGCAGGUACUCAGCAUUUGUUGAUAAUGCUACACUUACAUUUAAUGUGAAUUGUGUUGGUGUCCCUUGUAACAGCGUUAAGAAGAUAAUCAUGAGACCAUUGAGCUUUGGACUGACCCAAAGUCGUGUCCUAGACUGCCAGACACUGGGUGACUCUCUUGAUGCUGAUUCUCAGAGAUAAGCAGGAUCACAAGUGUUUGCUAUUUUAUGUGGUGGGCAUGAAUGGUUUUGCUAAAUCUCCUGCUCUUGGAAUCUUGUGAUACCAUGGGAAUCUGAGCUUUCCUUUGGAAGAAAGAGUUGAGUCAGUUUUUAGUUUUCUGAGAAACCCACAGAGGAAACUGAAGCCCCCUGAAGCUGGUAGUCACUGCUGCUUCCAGAGCAUGUAUCAAAUCUGGUCCAGGUUUUAAAGUCAUGGUUUAGAAAACCAUUAGAAAUUCAGAAAUCAUGAUCCAUUGUGACAGUGUGCAUAAGUCUGUGCUAACCACUACUACUGUGUUUUAAUUAAUGCUGGGCUGCCACAGCUGAUUAGUAAACAACUCAUUUUAUCAACCACAGUGAGGGUUCAUUAUCCAGCAUUGCUCUGCACACUGUAUUGAAGAAAGUGACCCUAAGUUGUACUUUAGGGUAAGACAAGAGAAUAAAAGGAGUGUUUCGUUAAAGACCUGUGCUGAAGCCAUUCAUGUGGGGUUCCUGAGCUAAGAUCUACAGAAACCUACUUAACCUUUAAGUCAUGUCUCCUCCCUGAGCCAGAGAGAGCUCAGAUGACUGAGGGAGCUGCUUCUAGGUGGCAAAAUUCAGGUGUAGACCCUAAAUCCAACAGACACCUUGUUUUGACACCUGGGCUGCACAAAUGUGGGGCACCAGCACAAGGGUUCUAGUAAAACUCAUUAAUUUCCAAUGACAAAUUGCCAGAAAAUGCAAAGAUGUUAAAACAUUGAUAUCCAAGCCAUUUGCAUCCUGUGAUAGCCAAACAUACCACAGCAUCUGAGCUAAUGAAAAUUGAAUAUUGCUGUCCAGAAAACCUCACUGGUGAUAAAAGAGUGACUAUUCUGUGCAGCACAAUGACAUCUGGGAGUGUGGAGAGAUCUGUGUGCUCCUAAUUUAAAAAAAAAAAAAAAAAAAAAGAAUAAAGCCCCAGAGGUUUAUGGAGAAAGCCACAGAUUGGGAAACUUGAGAAUUGUAAUUUCUAGUCUUGGUCCUGUUGUUGUUUUUCCUUACAGUCCUGGACAAGUUGUUUCUGUUUUUUGCUCUUUUUUGUCUCCCUUAUCUUUACAUGGUCCUGUCUAUUUAUACUCUAGGUUUUCCAACACCUGGAACUAUUCCUGGGAUAGCACCACAGAAUAAUUUCUGGAUACGAUCCGGUUACAACAAAUAAAAUUCAUUUUGGUUU